This 70-nucleotide transfer RNA is filed under the name Marmota monax (woodchuck). Its description in RNAcentral is "tRNA.Val". Lineage: Eukaryota; Metazoa; Chordata; Mammalia; Rodentia; Sciuridae. The record is from RNAcentral.
GCAUGUAGCUCAGUCAGUAGAGUGCUUGCCUCACAUGCACAAGGUCCUUGGUUCAAUCCCCAGCACCGCA